Molecule: ribosomal RNA, 433 nt
Filed under: uncultured bacterium
Lineage: Bacteria
Description: partial 16S ribosomal RNA
Rfam family: Bacterial small subunit ribosomal RNA
Source: RNAcentral
AAUGAACGCUGGCGGCAUGCCUAACACAUGCAAGUCGAACGAAGGCUUCGGCCUUAGUGGCGCACGGGUGCGUAACGCGUGGGAAUCUGCCCUUGGGUUCGGAAUAACAGUUAGAAAUGACUGCUAAUACCGGAUGAUGUCGUAAGACCAAAGAUUUAUCGCCCAAGGAUGAGCCCGCGUAGGAUUAGCUAGUUGGUGGGGUAAAGGCCUACCAAGGCGACGAGCCUUAGCUGGUCUGAGAGGAUGAUCAGCCACACUGGGACUGAGACACGGCCCAGACUCCUACGGGAGGCAGCAGUGGGGAAUAUUGGACAAUGGGCGAAAGCCUGAUCCAGCAAUGCCGCGUGAGUGAUGAAGGCCUUAGGGUUGUAAAGCUCUUUUACCCGGGAUGAUAAUGACAGUACCGGGAGAAUAAGCUCCGGCUAACUUCGUG